AGGACGAACGCUGGCGGCGUGCUUAACACAUGCAAGUCGAACGGAAAGGCCCUGCUUUUGUGGGGUGCUCGAGUGGCGAACGGGUGAGUAACACGUGAGUAACCUGCCCUUGACUUUGGGAUAACUUCAGGAAACUGGGGCUAAUACCGGAUAGGAGCUCCUGCUGCAUGGUGGGGGUUGGAAAGUUUCGGCGGUUGGGGAUGGACUCGCGGCUUAUCAGCUUGUUGGUGGGUAGUGGCUUACCAAGGCUUUGGACGGGUAGCCGGCCUGAGAGGGUGACCGGCCACAUUGGACUGAGAUACGGCCCAGACUCCGUACGGGAGGCAGCAGUGGGAAUAUUGCACAAUGGGCGAAGCCUGAUGCAGCAACGCGAGUGCGGGAUCGGACGGCCGUUCGGGUUACGUAAACCGGUCUUUCCGGCCGUGUAGGACGAACGUCGGUAGU
RNAcentral lists this ribosomal RNA (444 nucleotides) under uncultured soil bacterium. Its description in RNAcentral is "bacterial SSU rRNA". It matches the Rfam family "Bacterial small subunit ribosomal RNA", at positions 26 to 479 of the family's 1533-position model. The record is from RNAcentral.